GACGAACGCUGGCGGCGUGCUUAACACAUGCAAGUCGAACGGAAAGGCCCUGCUUUUGUGGGGUGCUCGAGUGGCGAACGGGUGAGUAACACGUGAGUAACCUGCCCUUGACUUUGGGAUAACUUCAGGAAACUGGGGCUAAUACUGGAUAGGAGCUCCUGCUGCAUGGUGGGGGUUGGAAAGUUUCGGCGGUUGGGGAUGGACUCGCGGCUUAUCAGCUUGUUGGUGGGGUAGUGGCUUACCAAGGCUUUGACGGGUAGCCGGCCUGAGAGGGUGACCGGCCACAUUGGGACUGAGAUACGGCCCAGACUCCUACGGGAGGCAGCAGUGGGGAAUAUUGCACAAUGGGCGGAAGCCUGAUGCAGCAACGCCGCGUGCGGGAUGACGGCCUUCGGGUUGUAAACCGCUUUCGCCUGUGACGAAGCGUGAGUGACGGUAAUGGGUAAAGAAGCACCGGCUAACUACGUG
Molecule: ribosomal RNA, 468 nt
Filed under: uncultured bacterium
Lineage: Bacteria
Description: partial 16S ribosomal RNA
Rfam family: Bacterial small subunit ribosomal RNA
Source: RNAcentral